RNAcentral lists this ribosomal RNA (1625 nucleotides) under Meloidogyne incognita (southern root-knot nematode). Its description in RNAcentral is "SSU rRNA". It matches the Rfam family "Eukaryotic small subunit ribosomal RNA". Lineage: Eukaryota; Metazoa; Nematoda; Chromadorea; Rhabditida; Meloidogynidae. The record is from RNAcentral.
AUGGCCAUUAUUUACUUGAUCUUGAUUGUCUAAAUGGAUAACUGKGGAAAAGCUAGAGCUAAUACAUGCACUAAAGCUUUGUCCUUACGGAAAAGCGCAUUUAUUARAACAAAACCMCGCGGCUUCGGCUGCUUCUUGUUGACUCARAAUAACUUAGCUGACCGCAUGGCCUUGUGCCGGCGGCGUGUCUUUCAAGCGUCCACUUUAUCAACUUGACGGGAGCAUAAUCGACUCCCGKGGKGGUGACGGAUAACGGAGGAUCAGGGUUCGACUCCGGARAAGGGGCCUGARAAAUGGCCMCUACGUCUAAGGAUGGCAGCAGGCGCGCAAAUUACCCACUCUCGGCUCGAGGAGGUAGUGACGAGAAAUAACGAGACUGUUCUCUUUGAGGCCGGUCAUCGGAAUGGGUACAAUUUAAACCCUUUAACGAGUAUCAAGCARAGGGCAAGUCUGGKGCCAGCAGCCGCGGUAAUUCCAGCUCUGCAAAUACAUAGAAUUAUUGCUGCGGUUAGAAAGCUCAUAGUUGGAUUCGUAUCGAUACCUUGGAACCCUUCGGGUGUCUCUAGGUGUUAUCGAUUUAUCGUAAUGUUCGGUUUUGAGUCCUUAACAGGAUUCUUAACAGGCAUUGCAAGUUUACUUUGAACAAAUCAGAGUGCUUCAAACAGGCGUUUUCGCUUGAAUGAUCGUGCAUGGAAUAAUAGAAAAUGAUUUCGGUUCAGUUUUAUUGGUUUUACGGACUGAGAUAAUGGUUAACAGAGACAAACGGGGGCAUUUGUAUGGUCCCGUGAGAGGUGAAAUUCUUGGACCGUGGCCAGACAAACUACAGCGAAAGCAUUUGCCAAGAAUGUUUUUAUUAAUCAAGAACGAAAGUCAGAGGUUCGAAGGCGAUCAGAUACCGCCCUAGUUCUGACCGUAAACGAUGCCAACUAGCGAUCCGCCGAUGGAAAUUAUAUUGCCUUGGUGGGGAGCUUCCCGGAAACGAAAGUCUUCCGGUUCCGGGGGAAGUAUGGUUGCAAAGCUGAAACUUAAAGGAAUUGACGGAAGGGCACCACCAGGAGUGGAGCCUGCGGCUUAAUUUGACUCAACACGGGGAAACUCACCCGGCCCGGACACUGUGAGGAUUGACAGAUUGAUAGCUUUUUCAUGAUUCAGUGGAUGGUGGUGCAUGGCCGUUCUUAGUUCGUGGAGUGAUUUGUCUGGUUUAUUCCGAUAACGAGCGAGACUCUAACCUACUAAAUAGUUGGUACAUACUCUUAGUGUAUACAGCUUCUUAGAGGGAUUUGCGGCGUUCAGCCGAAAGAAAUUGAGCAAUAACAGGUCUGUGAUGCCCUUAGAUGUCCGGGGCUGCACGCGCGCUACACUGGCAAAAUCAACGUGCUUGUCCUACCCUGAAAGGGGCGGGUAAACCAUUGAAAAUUUGCCGUGAUUGGGAUCGGAAAUUGCAAUUAUUUUCCGUGAACGAGGAAUUCCAAGUAAGUGCGAGUCAUCAGCUCGCGUUGAUUACGUCCCUGCCCUUUGUACACACCGCCCGUCGCUGCCCGGGACUGAGCCAUUUCGAGAAAUUUGGGGACCGUUGAUUUAAUUUUUCUAAAUUACUUUGAUGGAAACCAAUUUAAUCGCAGUGG